This 1435-nucleotide ribosomal RNA is filed under the name uncultured bacterium. RNAcentral describes it as "bacterial SSU rRNA". It matches the Rfam family "Bacterial small subunit ribosomal RNA". The record is from RNAcentral.
UUUGAUCCUGGCUCAGAACGUACGCUGGCGGCACGCCUAACACAUGCAAGUCGAACGAAGUAGCAAUACUUAGUGGCAGACGGGUGAGUAACAUGUGGGUAUCUGCCCUUUGGCCUGGAAUAACACGAGGAAACUUGUGCUAAUACCGGAUAAGUCUUUACGGAGAAAGCUUUAUGCACCAUUGGAUGAGCCCGCACUUGAUUAGUUUGUUGGUGGGGUAAUGGCCUACCAAGACUGUGAUCAAUAGCUGAUUUGAGAGGAUGAUCAGCCACAUUGGGACUGAGACACGGCCCAAACUCCUACGGGAGGCAGCAGUGGGGAAUCUUGCACAAUGGAGGAAACUCUGAUGCAGCGAUGCCGCGUGAGUGAAGAAGGCCCUUGGGUUGUAAAGCUCUUUCGUCGGGGAAGAAAAUGACUGUACCCGAAUAAGAAGGUCCGGCUAACUUCGUGCCAGCAGCCGCGGUAAUACGAAGGGACCUAGCGUAGUUCGGAAUUACUGGGCUUAAAGAGUUCGUAGGUGGUUGAAAAAGUUAGUGGUGAAAUCCCAGAGCUUAACUCUGGAACUGCCAUUAAAACUUUUCAGCUAGAGUAUGAUAGAGGAAAGCAGAAUUUCUAGUGUAGAGGUGAAAUUCGUAGAUAUUAGAAAGAAUACCAAUUGCGAAGGCAGCUUUCUGGAUCAUUACUGACACUGAGGAACGAAAGCAUGGGUAGCGAAGAGGAUUAGAUACCCUCGUAGUCCAUGCCGUAAACGAUGUGUGUUAGACGUUGGAAAUUUAUUUUCAGUGUCGCAGCGAAAGCGAUAAACACACCGCCUGGGGAGUACGACCGCAAGGUUAAAACUCAAAUGAAUUGACGGGGACCCGCACAAGUAGUGGAGCAUGUGGUUUAAUUCGAAGAUACGCGCAGAACCUUACCAACACUUGACAUGUUCGUCGCGACUCUAAGAGAUUAGAGUUUUCGGUUCGGCCGGACGAAACACAGGUGCUGCAUGGCUGUCGUCAGCUCGUGUCGUGAGAUGUUGGGUUAAGUCCCGCAACGAGCGCAACCCUCACUUUUAGUUGCCAUCAUUAAGUUGGGCACUCUGAAAGAACUGCCAGUGAUAAGCUGGAGGAAGGUGGGGAUGACGUCAAGUCCUCAUGGCCCUUACGUGUUGGGCUACACACGUGCUACAAUGGUAUCUACAACAGGAAGCAAGACUGCGAGGUCAAGCAAAUCCUUAAAAGAUACCUCAGUUCGGAUUGCACUCUGCAACUCGAGUGCAUGAAGCUGGAAUUACUAGUAAUCGUGGAUCAGCGUGCCACGGUGAAUGCGUUCCCGGGUCUUGUACACACCGCCCGUCACACCAUGGGAGUUGGUUCUACCUUAAGGCAAGGUUUCAAACCCUUGACCACGGUAUAGUCAGCGACUGGGGUGAAGUCGUAACAAGGUAGCCGUA